AUUGAACGCUGGCGGCAUGCUUUACACAUGCAAGUCGAACGGCAGCGGGGAGGAGCUUGCUUCUCUGCCGGCGAGUGGCGAACGGGUGAGUAAUACAUCGGAACGUGUCGAGAAGAGGGGGAUAACCACCCGAAAGGGUGGCUAAUACUGCAUAAAUUCUGAGGAAGAAAGCUGGGGACCUGGGAAUAGGCCUAGCGCUUUUUGAGCGGCCGAUGUCGGAUUAGCUAGUUGGUGAGGUAAAGGCUCACCAAGGCGAAGAUCUGUAGCGGGUCUGAGAGGAUGAUCCGCCACACUGGGACUGAGACACGGCCCAGACUCCUACGGGAGGCAGCAGUGGGGAAUUUUGGACAAUGGGGGCAACCCUGAUCCAGCCAUGCCGCGUGUAUGAAGAAGGCCUUAGGGUUGUAAAGUACUUUUGUUAGGGAAGAAAAGUCAGCUGUGAAUAAUGGCUGAUACUGACGGUACCUAAAGAAUAAGCACCGGCUAACUACGUG
Molecule: ribosomal RNA, 494 nt
Filed under: uncultured bacterium
Lineage: Bacteria
Description: partial 16S ribosomal RNA
Rfam family: Bacterial small subunit ribosomal RNA
Source: RNAcentral